GGACCCUUAGCUCAAUCGGUAGAGCUUUGUACUUAUGAUGCAAGGGUCCCGAGUUCGAUUCUCGGAGGGUCCA
Sparassis crispa is the source of this 73-nucleotide non-coding RNA. The record is from the annotation of a RefSeq genome assembly. Lineage: Eukaryota; Fungi; Basidiomycota; Agaricomycetes; Polyporales; Sparassidaceae.